AGAACUAACUUCAAUUUCUGCUUUUUGGAGGGUGAAUGCCUAUAGGAUUGGAGCGCUUGGACAGAGUGGCUCCUCCUGCUGGCAAGACGUUCGGCACCACCUGAUACUUGACUGUGUAUGAAAUACUUCAGUUUUGCUUUAAAUACUGGCAGCAAGAGCUAGCAUUCGGGGUUGGGGAUUUAGCUCAGUGGUAGAGCGCUUGCCUAGCAAGCGCAAGGCCCUGGGUUCGGUCCUCAGCUCUGGAAAAAAAAAAAAAAAAAAAAAAAAAGAAGACAAAACAACAAAAAAAGACCAAAAAAAAACAAGGUAACUGGCACACACAACCUUUUUCAUUUUCAAAGGCGCCCAAGGACAUUUUC
Molecule: small nuclear RNA, 359 nt
Filed under: Peromyscus californicus (California mouse)
Lineage: Eukaryota; Metazoa; Chordata; Mammalia; Rodentia; Cricetidae
Description: partial BC1 RNA
Source: RNAcentral